RNAcentral lists this ribosomal RNA (253 nucleotides) under uncultured bacterium. RNAcentral's name for it is "partial 16S ribosomal RNA". It matches the Rfam family "Bacterial small subunit ribosomal RNA", at positions 524 to 776 of the family's 1533-position model. The record is from RNAcentral.
GACGAACCGUGCAAACGUUGUUCGGAUUCACUGGGCUUAAAGGGCGCGUAGGCGGGUUCUCAAGUCGGUGGUGAAAUCUUUCGGCUCAACCGGAAAAUGGCCUCCGAUACUGGGAACCUCGAGGGAGGUAGGGGCAUGCGGAACUUCGGGUGGAGCGGUGAAAUGCGUAGAUAUCCGAAGGAACGCCGGUGGCGAAAGCGGCGUGCUGGACCUCUUCUGACGCUGAUGCGCGAAAGCCAGGGGAGCAAACGGG